RNAcentral lists this transfer RNA (66 nucleotides) under Papunya picta. Its description in RNAcentral is "tRNA-Trp". It matches the Rfam family "tRNA". From Rfam's summary of the family: Transfer RNA (tRNA) molecules are approximately 80 nucleotides in length. Their secondary structure includes four short double-helical elements and three loops (D, anti-codon, and T loops). The record is from RNAcentral. Lineage: Eukaryota; Metazoa; Arthropoda; Insecta; Coleoptera; Cerambycidae.
AAGGAUUUAAGUUAAAUAAACUGUUAGCCUUCAAAGCUAGAAAUAGGGGGUUAUUCCUAAGCCUUA